Molecule: ribosomal RNA, 525 nt
Filed under: Tritia mutabilis (mutable nassa)
Lineage: Eukaryota; Metazoa; Mollusca; Gastropoda; Neogastropoda; Nassariidae
Description: partial 16S ribosomal RNA
Rfam family: Bacterial large subunit ribosomal RNA
Source: RNAcentral
AAAACAUGGCUCCUUGAAAUCCAAUAAUAAGGAGUCGGACCUGCCCAGUGAAUUUCUUCAACGGCCGCGGUACUCUGACCGUGCAAAGGUAGCAUAAUCAUUUGCCUUAUAAUUGAAGGCUAGUAUGAAUGGUUUGACAUGAAUGUAGCUGUCUCUUUAUAAUUUAAUAGAAUUUUAUCUUCAGGUGAAGAAGCCUGUAUUUAAUUAAAAGACAAGAAGACCCUAUCGAGCUUAAAAAAAAUUAAUAGAAUUAAGGUUAAUAAAAUUAAAAAAUUGUCUAUUAUAUAUUUUAGUUGGGGCGACUGAGGAACAUAAAAAGCUUCCUUUAAAAGUAUCUUAAAUCAAACUAGAAUUGAUCCAAAACAUUUUGAUUAAAGGAAUUAGUUACCGUAGGGAUAACAGCAUUAUCUUUUUUAAGAGCUCAUAUCGAAAAAAAGGUUUGUGACCUCGAUGUUGGACCAGAAUAUCCUAAAGAUGCAGCAGUCUUUAAGGGUUGGUCUGUUCGACCAUUAAAAUUCUACCUGA